GGCCGGAUGGUGUAGUUGGUUAUCACGUAUCGUUAAUACCGAUAAGGUCCUGGGAUCGAGCCCCAGUCUGGUCA
RNAcentral lists this transfer RNA (74 nucleotides) under Aspergillus ibericus CBS 121593. RNAcentral describes it as "tRNA-Ile". The record is from RNAcentral. Lineage: Eukaryota; Fungi; Ascomycota; Eurotiomycetes; Eurotiales; Aspergillaceae.